Molecule: ribosomal RNA, 468 nt
Filed under: uncultured bacterium
Lineage: Bacteria
Description: partial 16S ribosomal RNA
Rfam family: Bacterial small subunit ribosomal RNA
Source: RNAcentral
GACGAACGCUGGCGGCGUGCUUAACACAUGCAAGUCGAACGGAAAGGCCCUGCUUUUGUGGGAUGCUCGAGUGGCGAACGGGGGAGUAACACGUGAGUAACCUGCCCUUGACUUUGGGAUAACUUCAGGAAACUGGGGCUAAUACCGGAUAGGAGCUCCUGCUGCAUGGGGGUGGUUGGAAAGUUUCGGCGGUUGGGGAUGGACUCGCGGCUUAUCAGCUUGUUGGUGGGGUAGUGGCUUACCAAGGCUUUGACGGGUAGCCGGCCUGAGAGGGUGACCGGCCACAUUGGGACUGAGAUACGGCCCAGACUCCUACGGGAGGCAGCAGUCGGGAAUAUUGCACAAUGGGCGGAAGCCUGAUGCAGCGACGCCGCGUGCGGGAUGACGGCCUUCGGGUUGUAAACCGCUUUCGCCUGUGACGAAGCGUGAGUGACGGUAAUGGGUAAAGAAGCACCGGCUAACUACGUG